GGAAUUUUCCGCAAUGGGCGAAAGCCUGACGGAGCAACGCCGCGUGAGGGAUGAAGGCCUCUGGGCUGUAAACCUCUUUUAUCAAGGAAGAAGAUCUGACGGUACUUGAUGAAUAAGCCACGGCUAAUUCCGUGCCAGCAGCCGCGGUAAUACGGGAGUGGCAAGCGUUAUCCGGAAUUAUUGGGCGUAAAGCGUCCGCAGGCGGCCCUUCAAGUCUGCUGUUAAAAAGUGGAGCUUAACUCCAUCAUGGCAGUGGAAACUGUUGGGCUUGAGUGUGGUAGGGGCAGAGGGAAUUCCCGGUGUAGCGGUGAAAUGCGUAGAUAUCGGGAAGAACACCAGUGGCGAAGGCGCUCUGCUGGGCCAUAACUGACGCUCAUGGACGAAAGCCAGGGGAGCGAAAGGGAUUAGAUACCCCUGUAGUC
Molecule: ribosomal RNA, 422 nt
Filed under: uncultured cyanobacterium
Lineage: Bacteria; Bacillati; Cyanobacteriota
Description: bacterial SSU rRNA
Rfam family: Bacterial small subunit ribosomal RNA
Source: RNAcentral